RNAcentral lists this ribosomal RNA (422 nucleotides) under uncultured bacterium. RNAcentral describes it as "partial 16S ribosomal RNA". It matches the Rfam family "Bacterial small subunit ribosomal RNA", at positions 355 to 788 of the family's 1533-position model. The record is from RNAcentral.
UGGGGAAUAUUGCACAAUGGGCGAAAGCCUGAUGCAGCAACGCCGCGUGAGGGACGACGGCCUUCGGGUUGUAAACCUCUUUUAGCAAGGAAGAAGCGAAAGUGACGGUACUUGCAGAAAAAGCGCCGGCUAACUACGUGCCAGCAGCCGCGGUAAUACGUAGGGCGCAAGCGUUAUCCGGAAUUAUUGGGCGUAAAGAGCUCGUAGGCGGUUUGUCGCGUCUGCUGUGAAAACCCGAGGCUCAACCUCGGGCCUGCAGUGGGUACGGGCAGACUAGAGUGCGGUAGGGGAGAUUGGAACUCCUGGUGUAGCGGUGGAAUGCGCAGAUAUCAGGAAGAACACCGAUGGCGAAGGCAGAUCUCUGGGCCGUAACUGACGCUGAGGAGCGAAACGGGUGGGAGCAAACAGGCUUAGAUGACCCU